UGGGGUAAUUUUGGACAAUGGGCGCAAGCCUGAUCCAGCCAUGCCGCGUGAGUGAAGAAGGCCUUCGGGUUGUAAAGCUCUUUCAGUUGGGAAGAAACGAUUACAACUAAUAAUUGUAAUUAAUGACGGUACCGACAGAAGAAGCACCGGCUAACUACGUGCCAGCGCCCCGGGGUUAAUACAAA
Molecule: ribosomal RNA, 185 nt
Filed under: uncultured bacterium
Lineage: Bacteria
Description: partial 16S ribosomal RNA
Rfam family: Bacterial small subunit ribosomal RNA
Source: RNAcentral